Molecule: ribosomal RNA, 253 nt
Filed under: uncultured bacterium
Lineage: Bacteria
Description: partial 16S ribosomal RNA
Rfam family: Bacterial small subunit ribosomal RNA
Source: RNAcentral
GACGGAGGGUGCUAGCGUUGUUCGGAUUUACUGGGCGGAAAGGGCGCGUAGGCGGCCUGGUCAGUCGGGUGUGAAAGCCCGGGGCUCAACCCCGGAACGGCACCCGAGACGGUCAGGCUGGAGACCGGGAGAGGAGGGUGGAAUAGCCAGUGUAGAGGUGAAAUUCGUAGAUGAUGGCUGGAACACCGGUGGCGAAAGCGGCGCUCUGCCCCGGUUCUGACGCUGAGGCGCGAUAGCGUGGGGAGCAAACAGG